RNAcentral lists this long non-coding RNA (630 nucleotides) under Oryza sativa Indica Group (long-grained rice). RNAcentral describes it as "lncRNA OsLaMu_11g0008230". The record is from RNAcentral. Lineage: Eukaryota; Viridiplantae; Streptophyta; Magnoliopsida; Poales; Poaceae.
CGGACGGAGUCCAAUAUUGCAAUUUUCUCGCGCGAAAGAAUAAUCUCCCGUCUCGUCGUCUACUCCGCUCCUUGUGCCAUCUCGCGGCGGAACAGGGGAGGGGAGGGGCGGCGAUCUCCAUCCGGCGAGCGGCGAGCGGCGAGCAGCGAGCAGAGCAGAGCAGGGGAGGAGAUCCUGGGCUUCUCCUUUCUUCAUAAUGUAGGCAAUAUAGGUUUAGGGGGUGCCAAAUUGGAUCGUAGCGUCGUCUCCGUCUCCGUCUUGUCCACAGCUCCAGGCUCCACUCCUUGUGCUGCCACCCUCCCCUUUGCUUUGGACGUCGCCUCCUCAUCAAUGCACGCCGAGCGUCGCGUCUUCCUCCAGCUCAUCUCAACGCCGGCGGCCGGUUCCACGCGGUGGCCGCGGCGGCCUCUGCCCCUCCGCUCGUUCCUCUCCUUGGCUCCUGAUCGUUUGCUUGUUUAUAUAUCAGAUUCAUGUUCUUCAUUUCUGUGCUGGUUAGUAUUUCCAAUCACCAACGCUUUCUUCAAGAAUGGAGGAGUAAUGGAGUAUGAGGUAAAGUGCAGUAGUGCUGUCAUUGGCAUUCUGGAUGCAGCCACAGUAUAUGCCAUUUAUCUUGUCUUGUUUGUUCAUUGA